AACGAACGCUGGCGGCAGGCUUAACACAUGCAAGUCGAGCGCCCCGCAAGGGAGCGGCAGACGGGUGAGUAACGCGUGGGAACAUACCCUUUGGUUCGGAAUAACUCAGGGAAACUUGAGCUAAUACCGGAUACGUCCGUAAGGAGAAAGAUUUAUCGCCAAAGGAUUGGCCCGCGUCCGAUUAGCUAGUUGGUGAGGUAACGGCUCACCAAGGCUACGAUCGGUAGCUGGUCUGAGAGGAUGAUCAGCCACAUUGGGACUGAGACACGGCCCAAACUCCUACGGGAGGCAGCAGUGGGGAAUAUUGGACAAUGGGCGCAAGCCUGAUCCAGCCAUGCCGCGUGAGUGAUGAAGGCCUUAGGGUUGUAAAGCUCUUUUGUCCGGGAAGAUAAUGACUGUACCGGAAGAAUAAGCCCCGGCUAACUUCGUGCCAGCAGCCG
This 440-nucleotide ribosomal RNA is filed under the name uncultured bacterium. RNAcentral describes it as "bacterial SSU rRNA". It matches the Rfam family "Bacterial small subunit ribosomal RNA", at positions 29 to 517 of the family's 1533-position model. The record is from RNAcentral.